Molecule: long non-coding RNA, 1959 nt
Filed under: Sus scrofa (pig)
Lineage: Eukaryota; Metazoa; Chordata; Mammalia; Artiodactyla; Suidae
Description: lncRNA (ENSSSCG00040009573.1)
Source: RNAcentral
UUUUUUUUCUUUCUCUCUCUCUCUCUGUGUAUAUUUGAGGGGGGAGCAUGCACAUUUCAAUUCUUUCCUGUAGUUCCAUUCUCCUCUUGCCUUUCUCUUUUACCUACUGAGCACUGUAGUCAGCUAAUUUCAGGGUGGGGGUGCAUUUUCGAUUCCCACUGGCUAAGACUGUGAUUUCAUCUAACAUCAUACUACUUCCUUGGGGUGGGAUAAGAACCCCAAUGCUCCUGGAUUAGAUGAAUCUUACAUAAUUCAACAUCUUUGCCAAGGAAACACCCUCUCAGCCGGGAUGGUCCUACCAAAAAGUACUUAAGCCUUUAACAGCAAAUUAGAAACUUUGAUGUCAAGUUAUUCUAACAUCCCCAUUAAAUUAUCAGUAAGUUAACUAAAGAAUUAUGGUUUAUAAAUAUCAUUGUCAUUUUAUACCAUUUUUAAAAGUAAAAGCUAAUUACCCAGAAGGAUGGCAAAGUCUAGCCAGAAAGCAGCAAGAUUCUGAAUAAAACCAAGACCAUUAGUUUUGACACUCUAUGCUAGAGUACUAAUUAAUGGAGCAUUUGCAUAUCAGUAAAAGACACACUACUAAAAAAAACCUUAUAUAUAUUUAUGAAUAAUUAUUGCUUACUAUUAGUAUUUAUUGAUAAAAAUAUACUGCAAAGAGCCUCUUCUUGGCUUGACUUUUGUUAGAGUGACAGACAAGAAUCCCCUGCCUUUACUUCUAUAAAAAUGUACACAUGUACAAACAUAUAUUUACAUGUGUUUCUUCUUUAAAAACUUUUAUUUUUUCAUAAUGAAUUUUAUUACAUUUAUAGAUGUGCAAUGAUCAUCACAACACAAUUUUACAGCAUUUUAAUCCCAAACCCUCAGUGCAUCCCACCCCCCAACCUGUCUUAUUUGGUAACAAUAAGUUUUUCAAAGUCUGUGAGUCAGUAUCUGUUAUGCAAAGAAGUUCAUUGUGUCCUUUUUUCAGAUUCCACAUGUGAGAGAUAGCAUUUGAUGUUGGUGUCUCAUUGUCUGACUGACUUCACUUAGCAUGAUAAUUCCUAGGUCCAUCCAUGUUGUUGCAAAUGCCAUUAUUUCUUUCCUCUUAUUGGGCUGAGUAAUAUUCCAUUGUGUAUAUAUGCACCACUUCUUCUACAUCCACGCCUCUGUCGAUGGACAUUUAGGUUGUUUCCAUGUCUUGGCGAUUGAAAAGAGUGCUGCAAUGAACAUCGGAGUACAUGUGUCUCUGCGAGUCGUAGUUUUUCUCUUGAUAGAUGCCCAGGAGAGUGGGAUUGCUCAUUCAAAUGGUAGUUCUAUUUCUAGUUUUCUGAGGAAUCUCCAUACUGUUUUCCACAGUGGUUGCACCAAUUUACUUUGUAACAGUGUACUAGUGUUCCUUUUUCUCCACACCCUCUCCAGCACUUAUUGUUUAUAGACUUUUUGAUGAUGGCCAUUCUGGCUGGUGUAAGGUAUUACCUCAUAGUGCUUUUGCUUUGCAUUUCUCUAAUAAUGAGGGAUGUUGAAUAUCUUUUCAUGUGCUUUUUGGCCAUCUGUAUGUCUUCUUUGGAGAAUUGUCUGUUUAGAUCUUCUGCCCAUUUUUUGAUGGUGUUGAUUAUUUUUUUGGUAUUGAGUGGUAGGAGGUGUUUAUAAAUUUUGGAGAUGAAUCCCUUGUCAGUCAAUUCAUUUGCAAAUAUUUUCUACCAUUCUGUGGGUUGUCUUUUCAUUUCGUUUAGGGUUUCCUUUGCUGUGCAGAAACAUUUAAGUUUAAUUAAGUCCCAUUUGUUCAUUUUUGUUUUUAUUAUCAUUACUCUAAAAGGUGGAUUUGAGAAGAUGCUGCUGUCAUUUAUGUGAGAAAGUGUUUGGCCUAUGUUUUCUUCUAAGAGUUUUAAUGUAUCUGGUCUUAUAUCUAGGUCUUUAAUCCAUUUUGAGUUUAUUUAUGUAUAUGGUGUUAGGAAGUGUUCUAAUUUCAUUCUUUUACAU